This 253-nucleotide ribosomal RNA is filed under the name uncultured bacterium. RNAcentral describes it as "partial 16S ribosomal RNA". It matches the Rfam family "Bacterial small subunit ribosomal RNA", at positions 524 to 776 of the family's 1533-position model. The record is from RNAcentral.
UACAGAGGUCUCAAGCGUUGUUCGGAUUCAUUGGGCGUAAAGAGCUCGUAGGCGGUUUGUCGCGUCUGCUGUGAAAGCCCGGGGCUCAACCCCGGGUCUGCAGUGGGUACGGGCAGACUAGAGUGCAGUAGGGGAGACUGGAAUUCCUGGUGUAGCGGUGAAAUGCGCAGAUAUCAGGAGGAACACCGAUGGCGAAGGCAGGUCUCUGGGCUGUAACUGACGCUGAGGAGCGAAAGCAUGGGGAGCGAACAGG